This 443-nucleotide ribosomal RNA is filed under the name uncultured bacterium. RNAcentral's name for it is "partial 16S ribosomal RNA". It matches the Rfam family "Bacterial small subunit ribosomal RNA", at positions 330 to 790 of the family's 1533-position model. The record is from RNAcentral.
UCCAGACUCCUACGGGAGGCAGCAGUGGGGAAUAUUGCACAAUGGGGGGAACCCUGAUGCAGCGACGCCGCGUGGGUGAAGGGGCACCUCGGUGCGUAAAGCCCUAUCGGCAGGGAAGAAACAGACGGUACCUGACUAAGAAGCCCCGGCUAACUACGUGCCAGCAGCCGCGGUAAUACGUAGGGGGCAAGCGUUAUCCGGAUUCAAUGGGUGUAAAGGGAGCGUAGACGGCGACGCAAGUCUGGAGUGAAAGGCCGGGGCCCAACCCCGGGACUGCUCUGGAAACUGCGGCGCUGGAGUGCGGGAGGGGCAGGCGGAAUUCCUGGUGUAGCGGUGAAAUGCGUAGAUAUCAGGAGGAACACCGGCGGCGAAGGCGGCCUGCUGGACCGUGACUGACGUUGAGGCUCGAGAGCGUGGGGAGCAAACAGGAUUAGAUACCCCAG